Molecule: small nuclear RNA, 86 nt
Organism: Pelusios castaneus (West African mud turtle)
Lineage: Eukaryota; Metazoa; Chordata; Testudines; Pelomedusidae
Gene: U2
Rfam family: U2 spliceosomal RNA
About the family: U2 is a small nuclear RNA (snRNA) component of the spliceosome (involved in pre-mRNA splicing). Complementary binding between U2 snRNA (in an area lying towards the 5' end but 3' to hairpin I) and the branchpoint sequence (BPS) of the intron results the bulging out of an unpaired adenosine, on the BPS, which initiates a nucleophilic attack at the intronic 5' splice site, thus starting the first of two transesterification reactions that mediate splicing.
Source: Ensembl
AUCGCUUCUCGGCCUCCUAUGGCUAAGAUCAAGUGUAGUAUCUGUUCUUAUCAGUUUAAUAUCUGAUAUGUUCUCUAUAUGAGAAC